CACUAUCGUUAACUGAAUACAUAGGUUAACGAGGCGAACCGGGGGAACUGAAACAUCUAAGUACCCCGAGGAAAAGAAAUCAACCGAGAUUCCCCCAGUAGCGGCGAGCGAACGGGGAGCAGCCCGGAGUCUGAAUCAGCUUGUGUGUUAGUGGAACGGUCUGGAAAGUCCGACGGUACAGGGUGAUAGUCCCGUACACGAAAGCACACUUGCUGUGAACUCGAAGAGUAGGGCGGGACACGUGGUAUCCUGUCUGAAUAUGGGGGGACCAUCCUCCAAGGCUAAAUACUCCUGACUGACCGAUAGUGAACCAGUACCGUGAGGGAAAGGCGAAAAGAACCCCGGCGAGGGGAGUGAAAAAGAACCUGAAACCGUGUACGUACAAGCAGUGGGAGCACCUUCGUGGUGUGACUGCGUACCUUUUGUAUAAUGGGUCAGCGACUUAUAUUCUGUAGCAAGGUUAACCGUAUAGGGGAGCCGAAGGGAAACCGAGUCUUAACUGGGCGUUAAGUUGCAGGGUAUAGACCCGAAACCCGGUGAUCUAGCCAUGGGCAGGUUGAAGGUUGGGUAACACUAACUGGAGGACCGAACCGACUAAUGUUGAAAAAUUAGCGGAUGACCUGUGGCUGGGGGUGAAAGGCCAAUCAAACCGGGAGAUAGCUGGUUCUCCCCGAAAGCUAUUUAGGUAGCGCCUCGUGAACUCAUCUUCGGGGGUAGAGCACUGUUUCGGCUAGGGGGCCAUCCCGGCUUACCAACCCGAUGCAAACUACGAAUACCGAAGAAUGUUAUCACGGGAGACACACGGCGGGUGCUAACGUCCGUCGUGAAGAGGGAAACAACCCAGACCGCCAGCUAAGGUCCCAAAGUCAUGGUUAAGUGGGAAACGAUGUGGGAAGGCACAGACAGCCAGGAUGUUGGCUUAGAAGCAGCCAUCAUUUAAAGAAAGCGUAAUAGCUCACUGGUCGAGUCGGCCUGCGCGGAAGAUGUAACGGGGCUAAACCAUGCACCGAAGCUGCGGCAGCGACACUAUGUGUUGUUGGGUAGGGGAGCGUUCUGUAAGCCGUUGAAGGUGUGCUGUGAGGCAUGCUGGAGGUAUCAGAAGUGCGAAUGCUGACAUAAGUAACGAUAAAGCGGGUGAAAAGCCCGCUCGCCGGAAGACCAAGGGUUCCUGUCCAACGUUAAUCGGGGCAGGGUGAGUCGACCCCUAAGGCGAGGCCGAAAGGCGUAGUCGAUGGGAAACAGGUUAAUAUUCCUGUACUUGGUGUUACUGCGAAGGGGGGACGGAGAAGGCUAUGUCAGCCGGGCGACGGUUGUCCCGGUUUAAGCAUGUAGGCGGAGGUUCCAGGUAAAUCCGGUACCUUAUUAACGCUGAGGUGUGAUGACGAGGCACUACGGUGCUGAAGUGAUAAAUGCCCUGCUUCCAGGAAAAGCCUCUAAGCAUCAGGUAACACGAAAUCGUACCCCAAACCGACACAGGUGGUCAGGUAGAGAAUACCAAGGCGCUUGAGAGAACUCGGGUGAAGGAACUAGGCAAAAUGGUGCCGUAACUUCGGGAGAAGGCACGCUGAUGUGUAGGUGAAGCCCCUGCGGGCGGAGCUGAAAUCAGUCGAAGAUACCAGCUGGCUGCAACUGUUUAUUAAAAACACAGCACUGUGCAAACACGAAAGUGGACGUAUACGGUGUGACGCCUGCCCGGUGCCGGAAGGUUAAUUGAUGGGGUUAGCUGUAAGGCGAAGCUCUUGAUCGAAGCCCCGGUAAACGGCGGCCGUAACUAUAACGGUCCUAAGGUAGCGAAAUUCCUUGUCGGGUAAGUUCCGACCUGCACGAAUGGCGUAAUGAUGGCCAGGCUGUCUCCACCCGAGACUCAGUGAAAUUGAACUCGCUGUGAAGAUGCAGUGUACCCGCGGCAAGACGGAAAGACCCCGUGAACCUUUACUAUAGCUUGACACUGAACACUGGUCCUUGAUGUGUAGGAUAGGUGGGAGGCUUUGAAGCGUGGACGCCAGUCUGCGUGGAGCCGCCCUUGAAAUACCACCCUUUAAUGGCUGGUGUUCUAACGUAGACCCGUAAUCCGGGUUGCGGACAGUGUCUGGUGGGUAGUUUGACUGGGGCGGUCUCCUCCCAAAGAGUAACGGAGGAGCACGAAGGUUGGCUAAUCCUGGUCGGACAUCAGGAGGUUAGUGCAAUGGCAUAAGCCAGCUUGACUGCGAGCGUGACGGCGCGAGCAGGUGCGAAAGCAGGUCAUAGUGAUCCGGUGGUUCUGAAUGGAAGGGCCAUCGCUCAACGGAUAAAAGGUACUCCGGGGAUAACAGGCUGAUACCGCCCAAGAGUUCAUAUCGACGGCGGUGUUUGGCACCUCGAUGUCGGCUCAUCACAUCCUGGGGCUGAAGUAGGUCCCAAGGGUAUGGCUGUUCGCCAUUUAAAGUGGUACGCGAGCUGGGUUUAGAACGUCGUGAGACAGUUCGGUCCCUAUCUGCCGUGGGCGCUGGAGAAUUGAGGGGGGCUGCUCCUAGUACGAGAGGACCGGAGUGGACGCAUCACUGGUGUUCGGGUUGUCAUGCCAAUGGCACUGCCCGGUAGCUAAAUGCGGAAGAGAUAAGUGCUGAAAGCAUCUAAGCACGAAACUUGCCCCGAGAUGAGUUCUCCCUGAGACUUUAAGUCUCCUGAAGGAACGUUAAAGACUAUGACGUUGAUAGGUCGGGUGUGUAAGCGCAGCGAUGCGUUGAGCUAACCGAUACUAAUGAACCGUGAGGCUUAACCUU
RNAcentral lists this ribosomal RNA (2762 nucleotides) under Enterobacter hormaechei. RNAcentral's name for it is "23S ribosomal RNA". It matches the Rfam family "Bacterial large subunit ribosomal RNA". The record is from RNAcentral. Lineage: Bacteria; Pseudomonadati; Pseudomonadota; Gammaproteobacteria; Enterobacterales; Enterobacteriaceae.